AGGAGACACAGAAGAUGGAGGGAGGGAUGGCAGCCUACCCUGUGGCAACGCGGGAGUCGCGUUGCCGCAGGGGGCGCAUUGGGGUCCAGCCGUCCCCAGAACGCAGAUCAGAGGUAGUCGGACCUUUCCCGCUGGCGCGCAGCCUCAGCUAGGUAGGUCUCCUUCCUUCGUCUUUCCUUUCUUUGCCUUUCCUUUCCCUGACGCUGGGGGAAGUAGGGCAGGGGUUCUGUGCCAUAGGCGGCCUUUCUGGUGCAGAGGACCUUCCCCAUCCUCCAUCAUGUGAGCAGCCAGAGCCGGGCGCUCGAACUUGCGCAAUGGUGGCUGCCGCACCACCGGCUCGGGCGUCAGGCAGUUAUCUGGGAGUCCCCGAGGGCCGAGUCGGGGCCAUGUGGGCGGGUCGGGGUCUUGCGUUUUUGGAGCACUGAGUUUUUAACCCCUGCCUACGUUUUCAGUUCUGGCAAGUGUAGGGAGAGCCUCCUAGCAGAGUCCCUCUAGCCUUCCUCGUCGGUUGGCCUGGAAGCGUUUCUGUGUGGCCAAAGGGCGGGGCGAACAGGAGGAGAAGGGUGCGCACACGGAUUCCUUCACCCACUCGAGUUCUCCCCACCUACGUGGCUGGAGGAGGGUGCGCGUGCUCUGUGGGUUUGGACUGAGUGGUGGUUAAACCUCAUGGCCGCCGUGCGUGCUCACAAGUGCUGGGCUCCCUUGAAUGUACCCCUAAAGAGGGUACAUUUCCUCGGAUGAAAUUUUGGCCUAAAAGCAAUACAGCUCCCUUUCUACGUACGCAUUUAAAGACAUGGAAAGAGACCCCCCCCCCCAGAUUUUCAGGGGCUCGCUCACAUUUUCAUCUUUUUUCAGUUCUGUGAAAUGGGAGGAUCUGAAACGGCCAUGAUUAUUCAGGAUUGAGCCACCACACCAAACUUGGGUAAAAUUCUUUCAUGGGGGUACUGACUCAUAGCUUGAGGUGGAAUUAGUACCUAGAUUUUCCCUCUUAUUAUGGAGUCACUGGCUGUCUUCUGUACUGAUGGAGCCAGGCCAAGCCCAAGGGAGCCCAGCAAAACAACCUCAUCCAGUAUACUGGCUCAGGAGGCCCAAGAGGGAGUAGUAAGCCAUUGUGGGAGCAGCAGAAAUUGGCAGGGGCCAUGUAAAUUGUGAAGACUGGGGAAAUGAUGCCUUGGCUUACCUCCAGGGGUCUCAGGUAGGCAGUCCCCCAUUGGGUGCUCCAGAUUGGGGUUCCGUGGGUCAGAAGGAAGGCCCAGUGGUUCCACACAGGCAGGUGACCAUGGUGGGGGCCUUUGGUUCUGCAGCCCCUUCAAGGAAGCUCUACAUGAAAGUGUGGGUCUUCUCUCCCUGCAGCACCCCCACAUUCACUCAUUUGUGCAUUCAUACAUGCAUGUAUACAUGCAAACACACAUGCCUCUACUUUCUUCCUUAAUUGUGUAUCUAUGUGUGUUUUCUUCUUUUUCUCUUCCUUUCUCCCAUAACCACCUUGGAGAUGCCACUGUGGAUAGAGAUUCCUCCCAAUUAAGUGGUAGCCCUUAACACUGCAUGAUGGACACUCCCAAGUUUCCCCUCUGCCUUCUAUUCAUCCUCCUGACUCUGCCUACAGUGAGAAUUGUGUCAUUUUUCCUUGUGUGUAUGUUUUUAGUGUCCAGUGUGAAUAAAGGCAAAUGCAGAGGUAUGUCUGCCUUUGACUUUCUCUUUGACACCAAGAUGCUUACAUGUGAUAGACUCUCUUAUAAUUUGUGGCUUUCACAAAACACCUCCACUGGACUUUGCAUCUCUGUGCAGAGUCAACAUACUCCCAGAUUCUUUUCAUUUCCCCUCUGUUAUUUUAUUUAUGCAUGAUGGAGAAAACACACUUGUGAAGAAAUUUAUUUCUCCAUACCCACACAAGUACACAGACCAAGAAGGAAGCUCUGUGAGGAUAGAUGCCAAGACAUGAUGGUUGUGAUUCCCCCACAGGAAUGAGAGAAGUCAGAGGUAUCCUCUGGUUUCAUAUGGGACUGUUCAUGGAAAGCUGCCUCUUUAUGACAGCCUCAAAUUACAUUUGUGGGAUUUUUCAAUAAAUAAUUAGGGUUGAUUUUAAUGUUAUACUUUCUUCAGAAAUCACGGUUGAUCCAAGAGCUGAUAUCCUAGCCUGAAAGCACUCUCUCAGUUGGCUGGGUGGGUUGAAUAUAUACACUGCCACCUUUUGGCUAUCACUUUGACAAUCAGCCCAAAAUCCAGUGAAGGAUAGUUGGCUAUCUUGUUGCAGGGCACACAGAGUGAACAGAAAAAGAGGAUACCUCUGCGAUCCCGGGUCAUCUCCAGAUGCUAGGGUUAUGGGUGAGUGCUCUUUAUCCUUCUGAAUCCUCUUCCUUAUCCUUUUCAAAAAGUCUGUUUUGGCCAGGCGCGGUGGCUCACGCCUGUGGUCCUGGCACUUUGGGAGGCCGAGGCGGGCUGAUCCCAUGAGGUCAGGAGUUCCGGACCAGCCUGGUCAGCACGGCGAGACCCCAUCUCUGCUGGAAAUGCAAAAAUUGGCUGGGUGUGGUGCCAAGUGCCUGUGGUCCCAGCUGCUUGAGGGGCUGAGGCAGGAGAAUCGCUUGAACCCGGGAGGCGGAGGUUGCAGUGAGCUGAGAUCGUGCCACUGCGCCCCAGCCUGGGCGACAGAGCAAGACUCUGUCAUAAAUAAAUAAAUAAACAAAACAAAACAUCAUAACAUAUAGAAAAAAUUUUCAAACAAUACAAAUUGACACUUGACUGAUUCCCAGAGAGUGAAGGCAGUGUGGCAUAGCAGAAAGAGCGAGGUCUGAAGUCAAAUCGUAUGGGUUUAAAACUUGGCUUUGCCUGAUAUGAUCUGUAAAGUGUAGGCAAAUCUGUUGACUUCUUUGGGUCUCAGUUUAUCAUCUACAAAAUAGGCUUAACAAUUAUUUUCAUGAUUGCUGGGAGGACUAGAUAGGAUGAUAUAUGUGAAAGUUCUUAGUAGGUACAGAAAUUAUACUAAAAAAGACAAACAAAUCCACAUGCUAUAAUGCAGUGUGGACUAUCUUUGGUAACCCACAUGUCAAAGGUAGUCUUAAACUGCUCUGGUUUGGUAAAUGUUGGCGUAAACUAGAAGUCAGAGACUAUGGGAUCCACCCUUAUCUGCUCUCGAGCUUUGGUUUACAAUGAGCUCAAGUGUGGGGAUUGUGUCAAAUGAUUCCUGGAAUCCCAUACAUUUGUAAAAUUCUAUGAAUUUGUGAAGUCUGCAAAAUGUGAAUCUGAGGUGUAUGUACUGUAGAGCAACUAUUAGACCAUUUAUCACAUUAUAUAUAGAUAGACAGAUAUAUCUAUAUAUAAUUUUUUUUUUAGGCAGAGUCUUGCUCUGUCACCCAGGCUGGAGUGCGGUCUCGGCUCACUGCAACCUCCGCCUCCUGGCUUCUGGCCGUUCUCCUGCCUUAGCCUCCCAAGUGGCUGGGAUUGCAGGCACCUGCCACCAUGCCCGGCUCAUUUUUGCAUUUUUAGUGAAGAUGGGGUUUCGCCGUGUUGGUCAUUCUGGUCUUGAGCUCCUGACCGCAGGCGGUCCACCCACCUUAGCCUCCCAAGGUGCUGGGAUUGCAGGCGUGAGCCACCGCGCCUGGCUAUCACAUUAUAUUUUACAGAAGCCAUCAUCCCAUACCUUUGAGUCCAGCCCCAGAAAGAGCGGUCCCUUGCAUACCAUUCAAUAUGACCUUGGGCAUCCUUUCCCCACUCCCCAGCCAUAGCUGUUUGGGCUAGGGUUGGAAACCUGUCCAUGGUAGGCCCUUUGGAGUCUCUUGCUGGCCACUUGGGAUUACAAUGGAGACAGUCAAGUUAACAGACAGUAAUGCUGGACCUGGACAGUUGCCAGCACGUGUUGGAGGCUGAGAGCACCAUCCAGUGUAAGCCAUGGUGGAUGGUGUAGUAGGAGAGCAAAGGAAGGCAAUCUGCAAAUGGGUUGGAUGGGGAGGGGGAGAAAAGGUGGGAGAAAGAGAGAAAUAUAAAAUGAGGGAAGCAGAGGAAGAGAUAACAUGGCAAUGAAGAAAGUAACAUCUUUGGUCAUUUUCUGUUCCAAUCACCCACAGCAGGCCUGUCGGUUCUCUUUUACCUAAGUAGAUUUUAGUGGCUUUUCUAUUCUUGAUCUCCAACCAUGCCCUAAGACAUACGGCAAUGGUAACACAGACUGAGGAUUCUCUGAUGGCAGGGCUUUGUCUCAUUCCUUUUUGCAACAAGCACAAAGUAGAUGCUCAAUGAAUUUAUACUGAAAUGACAUGAAAAUCAUGUUUGUGUAUGAAGUGUCACUGAUGGCAUUUAUAUGAAAAAGGUUAAUUAAAAUAAUUAUGUUUUUAAAAAAGUCUGUUUUAUCCUAUGAAAUGGGCAGUGGUUCUGGGAUUUCAGCCCAUCUACAGAAGACACUGCUGAGGCAUGUAGAUAACUGGCAUGGGGCAAUGGUGCCCUAUUCUGUAGCUUUCCACCAUGCUUAGUAGGAAAGACUUUUUGAAUGAGGUCCUGAUAGUGAGGCCCAAAGUAGGAAGUGCAUGGAUGAGCACCUAGGCAAGAUGUGUUUCCUUCAGGGGAUUGGGAUCAUUUCUUGGAACUUGAGGUCAGUGUCCUGUAGUGUAGGGGAGAGGGGAAAUGGGUUGGGACUGGGACUCUGGGAGGCUGGCCAUCUGCCAGUUAUGGGAUCUUUGGGCUCCCAGAGUUACUUUUAAGAAGUGGUCCUGGCCUCACUUAAGAAGAGAAAGUCUGUUGGAGACCCAGGGAAGACAGACAGGUCUUUUGGGCCUUCACCUUAUUGGUGUUGAGUACAGCUCUGCCUUCUUGUCCUGCCCAUUAUCUCCCAAUCCCUCUUGGGCCCAACUCACUGCACAAUGGCCCUCCUGACUGGUGAGGACAUGGAGUGCACUCUGCCUUAACUGUUAGAGGGUGAUUGGGCUAAAAGGGGUGGGAGGCCACACUCACGCAGCCUGGUGCCAAUCGCUCAAUGUCCCUUAUGUCUGUCUCUUGACAUACUGAGGAGAAAUGUGGGGGAAUGUGUCUUGAAGAGGUGUUAUUCCACACAAGCCAUCAGAAGUACACCUACCACAAGCCUGCUUGUAAGAAUUGUCCUGCCAUUGAUCCUGGCAUGGACAUCACAUAUGAGGAGGAUGGGUAUCUCUAGUUUGGCUCCUGUCUCCCCUCCUCACUGACCCAAGCGUGCAACCUUCCUUGUCUGGAGACCAUUCCUCAUCUGGAGGGUACGGCCAUGUGAAAGGAGCGGGGUCCUCAGGCCACAUUGUCUUGUGAUGGCAGUUUUUCCUCACUGUUCACCCCAGUUCUGGUGCCGCUGCGCCACCAUUUUGUGGGUAUUGCAUCCUGAGACCUCUGGGUCAAGCUGACCUUUUAGUGGCUUAUGUCAAUGUCCAAGUCAAAAUGUUACUUGGUAAGCAGAGUUUAAGUCUGGCUCCAACUCUCUGCCCAGACUCAAGAUAUUUUCCUGUGGUCUCAGCCAGCUCCAGUGCUAAAGAUUCAGCCAUGGCUUUUAGGUAUGAUCAUAAGGUAAUGAUUAGAGCCAUUUCUCCUUGUCAAGAGGAAAGUUUGAGACCACCCUACUGGGAUGAAGCCCUGCAAGAUGGAGGACCAGCAAUGAGAACUGGGAGCCCCAAGGAUUCAGCCAGGAUAAACACUGGCUGGCUUUUUCUUCAGUAGCAAAUGGCAGAGGGAUGGAAUAUUGGGGAGGAAAGAGGGGAAGGAAUGCUGGCAUUUCUGGCAUAAUAGUGCCAUCUAGAAGAACUUGUUUGACAAUCCCAUGAACCCUUGCUCAUGAUUGUCUGAGGAGUGGCUUGGGAGUGAAGUGGGGUUUCAGGAGGGAACAGAGCUAUCUGGAUGCAUGGGAGAAGUGUGGCCAAUGGCCAUUUGGGGCUGUCAAGCUUCAGAGACAAGCACCAGGUCAAGACCCCCAGAGCACCUGGUGGGACCUGUACUGGAAGCCCUGGCUCAUGAUUCUGUUGGUAGCCAUGUCUGGAUAGGGCUAGCAUAAAUCUCUGCAAAGGAUCCCCACCCUGAGGUUACAGCCAUUUUACCACCUGCCCCUUUACUGGCUGCAGUGCCUGCUCCUGAGAGUGCCAUACUUCUGGCAGAAGCCUGUUUUUAGUGCUGUGUGUCCCACACCAAAGAGAGCUAGUGCCUAGAUCCCUGCCUUUGCAGAGUUCUUCUUGGCCACCUUCCUUCAAAGUCCCAGGAGCCUCAGGGCAAUGAGCAGGAAUUGGCCUUGCUUCCCAUUCACCCCUGGCUCUCCCAAGUCUGAACCUGUGUUUAUCCAGGUAGCUGGGAAUCAAGAAGGGCCAGGAGUCCAUGCCAGAAUCUAACCACUGUAGGGUUCUGUCAUCAUCCUUCCUUUCUCCAUGCCCAUUUCUCUCUGUGCAUCCAGCCCUAGCCUCCUCCCCAUUUCCCUCAGAUCUACUUCUCAUCAAGCAGUCCUGCCGAGCCAAGAACGAGGUACAUACUCCUGGGUACAUGGCCUAUUUUAUACACUCCAUCUUCCUAAUGGCCUACUCCUGGAAAACAUCGUGGUUAAGUUGUGCUUUUGCCAGCUCUUAACUGACUGAGGCUAUGCUCCCUGGUCAGUGCUUGCCCACAGGCCUGGUAGGAAGACUCAAGGCCCAGAUCUCCACCUUUUUUUUUUCUUUCACCUCCCAAAUGGGUGCCAAAAACUGCUCUAGUCCUUUCUCAGUUUCAUACUUGUGAGUUUCCUAAAGUGUUGCCCAGUGGUCUUAUGUGGGCAGAGCCUUUUAGGGUCAAUCAACCUUCUUUUUUCCAAGCCUCAGGGCAAGACCUGGACCUACAGGAUCUGAUUGAUCCUAAGCUCAAGGCUGUGAGUGUGAUGCUCUGAGAGUGUUCCUUAGGUUUGAGCCAAUGCUGUAAGACAAGCAGAUACACAGAACAUAGAUCUUCAUGUUUGAACCCAGGUUUCUUCCACGAGGAGAGGAACCAGAUCAUACUAAGGAACUAGAGCCUAACAAACAGUGCACUUCCGGAUUGUUCUUGAGCUGAAGUACAGCACAAUACAGACCUAGGUCCUCUGACACCAGAGCUCAAUGUUGGUAUCAACUUGAUCCCCAAUGAGUGUCAGCACUCUCUGCCCCAUGGGACAAAAUGUGUGCAAUGGCACGCUGUGAGACCUUUGACCCAGACUUUCUUUGACAGGAGCAAAAAUUAACCAGACAAAGUUUGAAGUGCAAUGUACUUCAACUACUCUUUCUUGUAUCAUUGUAGUACCCCCCAAAUCAGGAAAUUUUCUAUCCUUUUUAUGAGCUACACCUAGCAAUGUGGCUACUGCCACCUCCCCUUUAUUUGGCUGGCCCUGGGACCUCCAGGGCAGUGCCUCCUUUCUUCGCUUGAAGUUACAUCUUCACCAAGAGCAAAGAUCCACAGUCAAAAUGCCCUGUGGUAGCUCCAGGUUCCCAAACAUGGCUGCCACUAAGGCCUGGCCUCUGCCGCCUCCCGAGCCUGGCAGGCCUGGCAGCCCAGGGUUUCUUGGUGGGCAAGCUCGGCUCCCUCGCUUUUGCACUGAAUCUGGAGGCACCCAGUCAGGUGCCCACAUCCAGUCCCAGAAUUCCCUGAGUGCCCCAAACCUACCCUUUGUUCUAUUAGAAACCUUCCCCUCUGGAUACACUGCGAAGGGCUGGAAGCCAUGCUCAAAAAGCUUCCUCUUGAUGGCACUGUUGUUCCAGAAAUGCCAACCGCCCCGUCCUACCAGGCCUCUCCCUCCACCCUUUGUGGAUGAAAAAACACCAGGGAAGGCCCACAACCAGUAUAAGCCUUAGAAGCAGAGUUUAUUCUGCUAUAGUGCUACAAGGCAGGGCUGAGUGUACCUUUCUCUGGGGCUCUUGGUUUUAAUAUAAAUGUCUGUGUGUAAGUGUUCAUCAAAAAGAACAGAUGUAUCCAUGUAUCUGUUGCUGUUAAUACAUCAUCCCUUUAUGAGCGUUAAGUCUAAAUAUCAUGUAAAUGUGUCAGUGGCUUCUGGGCACACUUGUGGGUUUAUAUAGGAUAUCUUAGGUAGAAUUCUUGCUCUUAUGGGGACAUUGACUCAUAGCUUGAGGUGGGCUGAGUACCUGGAUUUCCCUUCUUAUCUUGGAGUUGUUGCUUCUCUUCUGUCCUCAUGGAGCCAGGGCAAUCUUACCCAAGGCAGUCCAGCAGCCUCUUGUAGCUUAAGAUGUCAGCAGCAGGCCCUAGAGGGAAUGGCAGGCUAUUGCGGGGCCUGCAGGAAUUGACAGGUGCUAUAUCAGGUGAGAAGACUUUUUCAAAGUGAAAAUAAAAAUCUAGAGAUGAAUAUCUAAAUUUAACAUUUUAUUACAGGAGGAAAAAUUGCAGUUUGGUGCAUACAUACAGAUUCGGUGGCCUUUAGUAUUUCUGAAGAAGAAAGAGGAGGUUGCAGGUUUUAUAAAAGGAGAAAUGUCACAUACAGUUUUUCUAGAAAGUUCAUUGGUACUAGUAACGUAUUGUGGAGCUAGCAGUCUCUGAUGGGUGAGUGAUAGUCUUGGGUAAAAGUGGUCUUAGAGUUUUGAGCAGGUUGUUUCAGUAGCUGUUAGAUAAAAGUGUUUUCAGGAUAUAACAGGCAGUUUUAUCAUCCAGGCUGGUAGAGAAUUACAUUCUUAGAGCAAUGUAAUAAUGCCCUGAGUGCUUCUUCCCCCUGAACUCUUGACUGUUUUAGUUUUAUAUUGUAAGAAUGACCCAAUGUGUGUGAUCAACUUUCACACGCCCCUCUUUGAUCAAGAUCCUUCUAUGAAUGCAUGACUGAUCAACCAUUGUGAAGUUAGGCUUAAUUGUCUCUCGGUGCUGGGAUGGAGCUGUCCUGUUGUCUUCCUCAUUGAGGGUAAGUCAUAGGGGUGUAUAUCAGUGACCUGGGUCAUAUUGGAGUAACAAGGAGGCCAGAAGGAAAAAUUUUCUCAUGGUAGGUUCAUCUGGAGUCCAGCAUCAAGUUUCAUCUUACAGUUCCAUAGUCAUCAGCAGUCACCUUGAAACAAUGGGCUAAUUUUAUCCCCUUCAGAGAGCUGGCUUUACAAAGAUUAGACAGGUAAUAAGAGCAACACUUAAAAAUCAUAAUACAAAAAUAAAAAACAAUAUAAUAAAAUUAGUUUGCACAAUGGUUUUGCUCUAAGAGCACAAACUUAAGGGCAACAACUAAACAAAUCAAAAGACCAUAGAGGAAACUAGGUGAGACCUGUUAUAGCCACUGAGUAGCAUUUUCUGACUUGGUAAAAUUAAAACAGAGAAUGCCAAUUUUACAAAAGGAACCACCAUUAUAAUUUGAACAAAAUUUUUAAAGUUGCCCACUAGGUGAACUAAAAGGAUUUCUUUGGUCAGGUUUUGUCAAGUUAUCUAUAGCAGUUACUGGUUGCUAAAAAAAAGUAAUUAUGUCAACUUCCUGCCAAGUGAAAAAAAAAUAUCAUUAAGGGAAGUAAGACUUUCAUUAUGAUAUGUCAUUCUGAUGUCUUAGGAAAGGUCGUUUAUGGCAUGAAAAAUGUCAACUUCUUGUCCUGGUUUACAGUUUGAAUGUCUCUGGCUUUGGUGUCAGGGAGUUUGGUGACCUUUCUGUGUGGUUCAUAUAUCAGGCACAAGAUUUGUUCCUUAAAAUUUAUCUAGUUUUAGCUUACAGGCCUUAGAAACGAAGUAGUUCCUGCCUUAGGAGUUUUAUGGAAAAAAGUUGGAUUGGAGGAACCUAGAAUAAUUUAGGACCACGUGUAGUGUAUAAGUAGAUAAUAAGAGCUUGAAAACAAUGUGCAGAGUUAAAAUCUAAUAACAGGUGUAGUAUAGCUCUUUUUUAGAAACAACCUUUUCUUUCUACAUUGAUCAUAUAGGAAAUCUCAGAUUUUAAAACCUCAUGAGGCUAGAAAGCAAAACCAAGACCAACUUUAGAUUUUAUUAUAAUCUUAGGAUUCCUGGACCUGCUGGGAAGUGACAGUUUUUAUUUACUCACUAUAAGGCUGGGAACCCUUAAGUCAGGCAUUUUAUGCAUAUUUUCAAAUAUGUCAUUUCAGUCAAAGCCUUGGUAAUAACCAUGCUUUUAAAUUGUAUUCUGCUAUAAAGAAGACAGAUUUUUAUUGGGCUUAUGCAAAUAAUCAUAUUACCAUAAGAAUACUAACAAAUACUUUCUGAAUUCUGGAGGAAUCAAGGAGAAAAAUCCAAAUGAUUUUCCUUUUUUUCUUUUUUCUUUUACAAAAGUAUAUCUUACCAAAUUGCUAUAAAUGAUAGCUCAAGAGAGAAAAUGUUCCUAAAUCUGAAAAACAAAACAUUAAGAACCACAUGUAUCAAGUAAAAAAUCAUAAAAACAUUGUCUUCAUUAGUUAUUCAGUCUCAUAUAAUCAACAUUUGUUCUCUUUGAUCUCCACUAGUAGUUUUCUGAAUCCAUCAGUUUAUUAGAGUUCUGGAAGUUUUCAUUUAGUCCAUUGAUAUUAAAGUUAUCAGAAACCUGUAUUUAAGAGUUCUUGUGGGCCAGGCAUGGUGGUUCACACCUGUAAUCCCAGCACUUUGGGAGCCCAAGGCAGGUGGAUCACCUGAGUUCAGAAGUUCAAGACCAGCCUCAUCUUGAACUAAAAAACCCCAUCUCUACUAAACCCCGUCUCUACUAAAAAUACAAAAAAAAAAAAAAAAAUUUCCUGGGCAUUGUGGCAGACGCCUGUAAUCCCACCUACUUGGGAGGCUGAGGCAGGAGAAUCACUGGAACCCAAAAGGCGGAGGUUCCAGUGAGCCGAGAUUGCGCCAUUGCACUCCAGCCUGGGCAACAAGAGCAAAACUCCAUCUGAAAAAAAAAAAGAGUACUUGUUGGAGUUUUUUCCAUUAAUUUGAUAUUUAAUUUUAUUAAUUAGUUUAUUUCAGCUCUGUCAUCCAGGCUGGAGUGCAGUGACAGGAUCACAGCUCACUGCAGCCUCCAACUCCUGGGCUCAAGUGAUCUUCCUGCAUCACCCUCCCAAGUAAUCAGGACUAGAGGCAAGUACCACCAUAGCCAGCUAAUUAUUUUUUUGCUUUUUGUAGAGACAAGGUCUCGUGAUGGUUCCCAGGCUGGCCUUGAACCCCUGAGCUCAAGCAAUCCUCUCGUCUCAGCCUCCCAAAAUGAUAACUUUUCAAGUGUGAGCCACCAUGACCAUCCCUUGUUCAUGAAUUUGAUUGUAAAUGUUUUUACAGAAUAAUUCAAAAUGAUAACUGUGGAUUCUAAAAACUUGGAAUGGCCGUGGUUAAAAAUCUGAUGAAAGGUUGUAAUUGAUGAGAAAAUUUAGUUAGUUCUAUUACAUAUAGCAUUUUUAGGUAACAACUAGAAUUAUGAUUGAUAACAUAUUUCUAUGAAUUUAUAUAAUUUUUGAAACAUUUGCAUUAAUAGUACAUUUAUAAAUGCAACUAAGAGAAGAUCUAAUAUUGCUUAUCCUUCAACAACAUUUCUUACACAAUUUUCCAAAUAAGCUUAAUCAUUUAAUGUCUCUACAAAAUGAAAAAAAUAUCUUUUGUUGCUUUCCAGGGGUCUGAAUGGAAAAUCCUAAAGUUAAUUCUAGGUCAACAAGACUUAAUUAAGGAUUUGAUCUUGAGUAAGUUUGUCAAAGAUGUUAAAGCGCUCAAAGCAUUUGAUCAAAACAGAAUUGCAGGCCACUAUAAAAUAAUACUCAUUUAACCAAAGUGAUCAUCAAAAGACUUCAGAUGCAACACAGAGAGUUACACGGAUAUAAAAACCUUAAUCCUUUUAAAGCUCAAUUAUCCUCAGUAAUCAAAAACCUAAUAAAGUCAACACAGCAAAUUUUCUUGAUAAAACAAAAAGCCUUUGAUUCUUAGGCCAACUAACAAAAAGCCAAAGUAAAACCAUCAGCCCUGUGACUUUUUCUUCUUAAUGGAAGCUCAUUUAGAUGAACUGGAAGUUGAACCUGAUGAAUUUAAUUAGACACAAGGAUAAUGUUUCCAAGGUUAUGAGUGGAAUAAUUCAGGUAAAUCAAAAAAGCCAAGAAUACAGAGUCAAAUUUUACGGGAGGGAAAGUGCUUUUUUAGGCCUGCAAGGUAAACAUUUUAGUGUUAGGCCAUAACAGCAGGUUAGAACUAGAGAAAAAAGAGGGGCUGACAAAAAAGUUGAAGGAGAGUUUUCAUAACAGGCAUUCUCAAGGGGAUAAAAAGGUGAAUGUCAUGAUGUGUGACCUGCAAAUCACGUGCAGUGAGGUACAGCAAAAGUUGUACCUCUGAGGUAUAAAUCUGAGAAAUUUGAAAAGUAAAACUUUACCUUAACAAAUGAAAUUAGGGGGCAAAGCAAGAUGGUGGAAUAAAAGGCUCCACCUAUCAUUUUCCUCUCCCAAGGACAUAAAUUUAACAACUAUGGACACACAAAGAAUAACACCGUGACAAGAAUAAAAAAAUCAGGUGAGCACUAACAAUACCUGGUUUUACCUUUCUGUCACUGAAAGAAGCACUGAAGAGAUAGAAAAAAAGUAUUGAAGUGCUAAUGUCACCCCUCCCUCACACCCUGGCAGCAGCAGCAUGGUGCUGAGAGAGUUUCCGUGUUCUGGGGGAAGGGAGAGCAUGGCAGUUGUGAGGUGUUGAACUCAGUGCUGUCAAGUUAGAGCAGAAAGGAAAGCCAGUCCAAACUCAUCUGAUGCCUGCCAUAGUGGGAGUAUUUAAACCAGACCUAGCCAGAAGGGAAUCACCGCUUGAGUUCCUCUAAACCUCACUACCACGUUCUAAAGUGCUCAGAGACUCUAAAUGAACUCGAAAGGUAGGCUAGGCCACAAUGAUUUCAACCUUUAGAUGAGUUCUAAUGCUGAAAUGGGCCCAGAGACAGUGGACUGGUGGGGCACAUAACCUACUGAAACAUCAGCUGGGGUGGCUAAGAAAGUGUGGGCAUUACCUCUCCCCUAACCCCAAGCUACAUAGCUCACAGCUCCAAAAGAGACCCCUUCCUUCUGCUUGAUGAGAGAGGAGGGAAGAGCGAAGAGGACUUUUUAUUGCAUGUUGAAUACCAGCUCAGCCACAGCAGGAUAGGACACUGGUCAGAAUCCCGAGGCCCCCAUUCCAGGCCCUACCUCCCAGGUAACGUUUCUAGACACAACCCAGGCCAGAAAGGAACUUGCUGCCUUGAAGGGAAGGACCCAGUCCUCGCAGCAUUUAUUACCUACUAACCGAAGAGCCCUAGACCCUGAAUAGCAAGCAGAGAUAUCCAGGUACUACUUUGAAGGACUUCAGUGGGACUCUGAGACUUACUGGCUUCAAACAUGUCUCAGCACAUUUCCAACUGUAGUGGCUACAGGGCGAGACUUCUUCUGCUUAAGAGCAGAGGAAAGAGUAAAGGGGACUUUGUCUUGAACCUUAGGAACCAGGUCAACCACAGGGGGCUGUACCAAGUGGGCUCUUGGAGUACACAAUUCCAGGACUUGCCUCUUCAAUGGUAUUCCUGGACCUCUCCUGGGCCAAAGGGAAGCCCACUGCCCUGAAAGGUGAGUCCCAAGUCAGGCAGCAUUCAUCACAAACAGACAUAGGAGCCCUUGGACCUAAAGGGAACAUUGACAGUGGUCUGGCAAUACUCCCCAUGGGCCUGUGAUGGUGAUGACCACAGAGUGAGGCUUCUUUACAUUUGGAAAGGGGAGGGGAGACUGGAACGACUGCAUUUUGUGCCCUCACUGACAGCUCAGCCACAAUACAAUAGAACACCAGCAAGACUUCUAAGGUUUUGGACUCUUCUUCCUGACUCCAAGAUGGCACUCUUGGACCCACAUGGGGCCUGGGAGCACUCACUGCUCUGAAGGGAAGGGUGCAGGCCUAACUUUCCACCUGCUGAUUUUAGAGUCCCAGGGCCUUGAGUAAAUAUAGGCAGUAGCCAGGGAGUGGUUACUGCAGGCGUUGGAAAACAUGCAGUGCUGUGCUGGCUUCAGGUCUGACCCAACACAGUCAUAGUGGUGGUGGCCACAGGGGUGCUUAUAUUAUUGCAUCCCCAGUUUCAAGUCGCUCAGAACAGAGAGAGAUACUAUAUUUAUUUGAAAGAACAUAAAAAAGAGAACAAGAAUUAUCUGCCUGGGAAUCCAGAGAAAUCUCCCAGAUGUUGUCCAAGACCAUCAAGGUAGUACGUCUACGAAUCUGCAAGAACCACAGUGUUACUGGGCUCAUGGUUCCUCAUAAAGCAGAUACAGCUUAGAUGACAACACCCAAGUCCUCUCAAAUAUCUGGGAAGCCUUCACAAGAAGGAUAGGUACAAACAAGCCCAGACUGUGAAGACUAACAUAAAUACCUAACUCCUCAAUGCCCAGACACAGACAAACAUCUACAAGUAUAAAAGACAGUCCAUGGAAACAUGACCUCACCAAAUGAACUAAAUAAGGCACCAGGGAACAAUCCUGGAGAAACCGAGAUAUGUGAUCUUUCAGACAGAAUUCAAAAAAGCUCUUUUGAGGAAACUGAAAGAAAUUCAGGAUAACACAGAGCAGGAAUUCAGAAUUCUAUUAGAUAAAUUUGAUAAAUUGAAAUAGUUAAAAAGAAUCAAGCAGAAAUUUGGGAGCUGAAAAAUACAAUUGGCAUAUUGAAGAAUGCAUCAGUGUCUUUUACUAGCAGAAUUGAUCAAGCAGAAGAAAGAAAUAGUGAGCAAGCUAUUGAAAAUAGGGCAGGCAGUUUGAAAGUACGUAGAGGAGACAAAAGAAAAAAGAAAUAAAAAACAAUGAAGAACACUUACAGGAUCUAGAAAAUAGGUGGAAAAAAGCAAAUCUAAAAGUUAUUGGCCUUAAAGAGGAGGUAGAGAAAGAUAUAGGGGUAGAACAUUUAUUCAAAGAGAUAAUAACAGAGAAUUCUCAAACCUAGAAAAAGAUAGUAAUGUCCAAGUACAAGAAGAUUAUACAACACCAAGCAGAUUUAACCCAAAGAAGACCACCUCAAGGAAUUUAAUAAUCCAGCUCCCAAGAAACAAGGAUAAAGAAAUUAUCAUGAAAACAGCAAGAGAAGAGAAACAAAUAACAUAUAAUGGAUCUCCAGCACAUCUGGCAGCAAACUUUUCGGUGGAAAUUUCACAGGCCAAGAGAGUGGUAUGGCAUAUUUAAAGUGCUGAAGGAAAGAGACUUUUACCCUAGAAUAAUAUAUCCAGCAAAAAUAAUCUUAAGACAUGAAGGAGAAAUGAAGACAUUCCCAGACAAACAAACACUGAGACAUUUUAUUAACACUAGACCUGUACUACAAGAAAUGCUAAAGAAAGUACAUCAAUCAGAAAUAAAAGGAUGUUAGUGAGCAACUAAUAAUCACCUGAAGGUAAAAAAAAAAAAAUCACUGUAAUAGUAAGUAUAAAUAAAAACACAGAAUAUUAUAAGACUGUAACUGAUGUGUCAACUACUCAUUCUAAGUAUGAAGGUGAAAUGAUGAACCAAUCAAAAAGUUAACUAUACACUGCACACUAUAUUAAUGUGUUAUCAGAUAAAAUAAUGGGUUUUUAAAAAGUAUUUGCAAGCCUCAUAGUAACCUCAAACCAAAAUGCAUACAAUGGAGACACAAGAAAUUAAAAGCAAGAAACUAAAUCAUAUCAUCAGAGAAAAUCAUCUCACUAAAGGAAGACAGGGAGGAAAAAGAAGGAAAACAGACCACAAAAACCCAGAAAACAAAUAAUAAAAUGGCAGGAGUAAAUUCUUAAUUACCAAUAAUACCACUGAAUAUAAUGGAUUCAACUAUUUAAUCAAAAGUCAUAGAGUGGCUAGAUGAAUUUUAAAAGCAAACCCAUUGACUUGUUUCCUACAAGAAACACACUUCCCCUAUAAAGACACGUGUACACUGAAAAUAAAAGGAUGGAAGAAUAUAUCCCAUGUCAAGGGAAACCAAACAAGAGCAAAAGUUGCUGCACUGAUAUCAGACAAAAUAUAUUUCUAGACAAAAACUGUAACAAGAGACAAGGUCGCUAUAUAAUGAUAAAAGGGUCAAUUUAGCAAGAAUAUAUAACAAUUUUAAGUAUAUGUGCAGUCAACCCUGGAGCACCCAGAUAUAUGAAGCAAAUAUUAUUAGAGGUAAAGAAAGAGAUAGACCCUAAUACAAUAAUAGCUGGAGACUUCACCCCACUUUCAGCAUUAGGCAAAUCUUUUAGACAGAUAUUAACAAAAAAACUCAAUCUGCACUAUAGACCAAAUGGAUCUAAUAGAUAUUUACAAAACUUUUCACCCAAUGGCUAUGGAAUAUAAACUCUUCAGCACAUAGAUCGUUCUCAAGGAUAGACCAUAUGUUAGGUCAUAAAUCAAGUUUUAAAAUAUUCAAAAAAUGGAAAUAAUAUCAAACAUCUACUCUGACCACAAUGGGAUAAAACUAGAAAUCAAUAACAAGGAAUUCUGAAAACCAUACAAAUACAUUAAAAUUAAACAAUAUGCUUCUGAAGAAUCAGUGGGUCAAUGAAGAAACCGAAAAAAAGUUGAAGAAUUCCUUGAAACAGAUGAUAAUGAAGACACCAUCUACCAAAACCUAUGAAAUACAGCAAAAGCAGUAUUAUGAAAGAAGUUUGUAGCUAAAAAAAAAAAAAUCUAACAGUGUGCUUGAACUAGAAAAGCAAGAGUAAACCAAAACCAAAAUCAGUAAAUAAAGGAAAUACUAAAGAUGACAGCAGAAAUAAAUUUGAAAUGAAGAAAACAAUGCAAAAGAUUAAUGAAAUAAAAAGUUUGCAGUUUGAGAAGUUAAACAAAAUUGACCUUUAGCUGGACUAAGAAAAAGAGAAGAUCCAAAUAAAUAAAAUCAGAGAUGAAAAGGGAGACAUUAUGACUACUACAGACAUUAAAAGGAUUACUAGUGGCUACUAUGAGUAACUAUACGCCAAUAAAUUGGAAAAUCUAGAAGAAAUGGACAAUUUCCUAGACACAUACAACCUUCCAAUGUUAAACCAGUACGAAAUCCAAAACCUGAACAGACCAAUAACAAGUAGCAAGAUGGAAGCCAUAAUAAAGUCCCUCAGUAAAGAAAAGCUUGGGACCUGAUGACUUUACUGCAGAGCUGUACCAAACAUUUAAAGAAGAAUUAAUACCAAUCCUAUUUAAACAAUUCAAAAAAAAAAAUGAGGAGGGGACACUUCCUAACUUAUUCUACAAGACCAGUAUUACAUUGAUAGCAAAACUAGACAAAGAUACAUCAAAAAAAUUAAAAAAAAACACAAGCCAAUAUCUCUAAUGAAUAUUGAUGCGAAAAUCCUCAGCAAACUACUAGCAAAGCAAAUUCAACAAUACAUUAGAAAGCUCAUUCAUCACGACCAAGUGGGAUUUAUUCCAGGGAUGCAAGGGUGAUUCAACAUAUGCAAAUCAAUCAUUGCGAUGCAUCAUAUCAACAGAAGAAAGGACAAAAUCCAUAUGAUCAUUUCAAUUGAUGUCAAAAUGAUGUUUUCAUCCCUUCAUGAUAAAAAUCCUAAAAAAACUGAGGAUAGAAGGAUCAUACCUCAACAUAAUACAAACCAUAUAUGACAGACCCCAGCUAGUGUCAUACUGAAUGAGGAAAAACUGAAAGCCUUUCCUCUAGGACCUGGAACACAACAGGGAUGCCCACUAUCACCACUGUUAUUCGACAUAGUACUGAAAGACUUAGAUAGAGCAAUCAGACAAGAGAGAGAAAUAAAGGGCAUCCAAAUUGGAAAGGAAGAAGUCAGAUUAUCCUUGUUUGCAGAUGAUAUUAUCUUUUAUUUGGAAAAACCUGAAGACUCUUAGCCAGGCAUAGUGACAUGUGCCUGUAGUCCCAGCUACAUGAGAGCCUGAGACAGAAGGAUCAUAUGAGCCCAGGAGGUCGAGGCUACAGUGAGCUGAGAUCCUGUCACUGCAUUCCAGCCUGGGCAACAGAAUGAGACCUUAUCUCAAAAAAGGAAAAAAAAUGAAAAAAAGGAAAAACUCCACAAAAGAAAUUAGAACUUAUAAACAAAUUCAGUAAAGUUGCAGGAUACAAAAUUAACAUCCAGAAGUCAGUAGCAUUUCUUUAUGCCAAUGUGAACAAUCUAAAAAAGAAGUAAUCUUAUUUAUAAUAGCCACAAAUAAAAUUAAAUACCUAGGAAUUAAUUUAAAGCAAUCAACAAUCUCUGUAAUGAGAAUUAUAAAACACUGAUGAAAGAAAUUGAAAAGGACACCAGAAAAUGGAUAGUCUAUGUUUAUGAAUUGGAAGAGUCAAUAUUGUGUAAAAUUCCAUACUACCCAAAGCAAUCUACAGAUUCAGUGCAAUCCCUAUCAAAAUACCAAUGUUAUUUUUCAAUGAAAUAGAUAAAACAAUCUUAAAAUUUCUAUGUAACCACAAAAGACCCAGAAUAGCCAAAGCUAUCCUAGGCAAAAAGAACAAACCUGGAGAAUUCAUAUUACCUGACUUCAAAUUAUACUACAGAGCUAUACUAACCAAACCAGCUUAAUGCUGGUAUAAAAACAGACACAGACCAAUGGAACAGAAUAGAGAAUCUAGAAACAUUCACACUCCUAUAGUGAACUCAUUUUCAAUAGAAGUGCCAAGAACAUACGCUGAGGAAAAGACAGUCUCUUCUUUGAUAAAUGGUGCUGUAAAAACUGGAUAUCCAUAUGCACAAGAAUGAAACUAGAUCCCUAUCUCUCAUUGUAUACAAAAAUCAAAAUGGAUUAAAAACGUAAAGAUCUCAAACUAUGAAACUACUACCAGAAGUCAUUGGGGAAAAUCUCCAGGACAUUGUUCUCAGCAAAAAUUUCUUAAGUAAUUCUCCACAACGACAGGCAACCAAAGCACAAAUGGACAAAUGGGAUCUCAUCAAGUUAAAAAGCUUCUGCACAGCCAAGGAAACAAACAAAAAAUUGAAGAGAGAACCCACAGAAUGAGAGAAAAUAUUUACAAGCUACCCAUUUGACAAAGGAUUAAUAACCAGAAUAUAUGAAAAGCUCCAACAACUCUAUAGGAAAAAAAUCCAAUAACCUGACCAAAAAAUGGGCAAAAUAUCUGAAUAAACAUUUCUUCGAAGAAGACAUGCAAAUGAAAAACAUGAAAAGGUGUUCAACAUCAUUGAUCAUUAGAGAAAUGCAAAUCAAAACUUUAGUGAGUUAUCUCACCCCAGUUAAAAUGGCUUAUAUUCAAAAGACAGGUAAUAACAAGUGCUGGUGUAGAUCUGGAGAAAAUGGAACCAUGUAUACUGUUGGUGAGAAAUUAAUACAACCACUAUGGAAAACAGUUUGGAGGUUCCUCAAAAAAACUGAAAAUGGAGCUACCAUAUGAUCCAGCAAUUUCACUGCUGGGUAUGUACCCUAAAGAAAGAAAAUGAAUAUGUCAAAGAGAUAGCUGCAUUCCUGUGCUUGUUGCAGCACUGUUCACAAUAGCCAAGAUUUGGGAGCAACCUUAGUGUCUAUCACCAGAUGAAUGGAUAAACAAAAUGGGGUACAUAUACAAAAUGGAGUACUAUUCAGCCAUAAAAAAGAAUGAGAUCUAGUCAUUUGCACCAACAUGGAAGGAACUGGAGAUCACUAUUUGAAGUGAAUAAGCAAAGCACAGAAAGACAAACAUCACAUGUUCUCACUUAUUUGUGGGAUCUAAAAAUCAAAACAAUUGAACUCAUAGACAUACAGAGUAGAAGAAUGAUUACCAGAGGGUAGGAAGGGCACUUGUUGGGUUGGGGAGGAAAUUGCAAUGGGUAAUGAGUACAAAAGAAAAAAAAUAGUAUGAUUAAGAUCUAGUAUUUGAUUGCAUAAUCGGGCGACUGUAGUAAAUAAUAAUUGACCAUUUAAAAAUAACUAAAAGGGUAUAAUUGGAUUCUUUGCAACACAAAGGAUAAAUGCUUGAGAGGAUGUAUACAUCCAUUUUUAUGAUUUGCUCAUUACACAUUGCAUGCUUGUAUCAAAAGUUUUCAUGUACCCCAUAAAUACAUACACCUACUAUGUACUACUCACAAAAAUUAAAAAUUAAAAAUACCAUUUUAAAUAAAGAAGAUAGCUUUUUGGGGGGCGGGGACAGGGUCUCACUCUCCAUCUCUCACUCAGACUGCAAUGGUGAGAACAUGAUUCAUUGGGAAAUAAACACAACUUCCUGGGCUCAAGGUGUCCUCCCACCUCAGCCUGCUGAGUAGCUGGGACCACAGGCACACAACACCAUGCCUGGCUAAUUUUUUUUUUUUUUUUUUUUUAAUUUGAGACAAGAUCUCACUAUGUUGCCCAGGCUGGUCUUGAACUCCUGGGCUCAGGCAAACCUCCUGCCUUGGCCUCCCAAAGUGCUGGCAUUACAGGCAUGAGCCACUGCACCCAGCAGCAGUCUUACUUUCUUUAAACCAGAAACUAGGGAUAUUAAAGAGAUCUCAGGAAAAAGUGGCAGGAACAGAAUCUGUCUGUAGUGUACAAAAUGGCUGUUAAACAGAUUUUUGAAUUAAACUUAAAACCUCUUGCAAUUUUUAAAAGCGUGUAUCAAUACUUUAAGAAAACUUUGUUGUUUACACAGACUCUGGUCCUGUAUCAUGUCAUCCCUGACAGCAACAUUUAAUUUUUAGAAUAUCGUAUAAACAAUUUCUUUUCAAUCUCAGUGGACCCAGUCACACAUGAAACUUUUUUCAUGAGACCAGUGCUUUAGAAAUCCUCUUCUACUUGUUUAGUUCUUUCACCACUUUUCAACCCCCACCCCCCAAGUCUUAUUUCUGUAAUUUUUCUUUUUAAAAAAAUUAUGGAACAACAAUUUUAAAUUAGGUAAAAUUUUACCACAUACAAUUUUUUACACAAAAUUAUUUCCUUCUAAAUUCAUAUUUUGAUUAAUAGACACAAAUGUAUUUAGUCUUUCCAUAAAAUUUAAAAAGCCAAGAAUGAACUUAUGUGUACUUAACAAUUUGUUUCUGUUUUUUUCUUAUUUGGAUAUGGCUCAGACAUUUAAUGAGUAUUAUUUAAUUUAACAUAACUUUAAGAUUUUAAAUUACAUGAAAAUUUAUUUGUAAAUGCUUACUCUGUUUGCAAUUACCUAAUUUAUUUAUUUUUUAACAAUUAUACCUUGAUUACCUAUGAAAAUUGAGAUACUAGACAUAGCUAGUUAUUAGGUUUUUAUUAACGAAUUUUAUUGCCUGUUAAUAUCAGGAAUUUCCCUAAGUAAGAACUUUAAGGUUAAAUACAUAGGUCAAUAAGUCCUAUUGUAUAAAUCCUGUCAAUAAGUCAGGAGACACGGCUGAUUUUAUUAAAGCAACAAUAUUAAAUUAAUCUUAUCAAAGGGUUAAAGAUUAUGUUGUUUUAGGCUUUAUCACCUUAUUACAUUAAAAGAUCUAGCAGAGGCAUAUAUAAAACUGUGUGACCAGUAAACUCAAGUGAGAAUGUAUGUUGACACUUUUGAAGAUAUUUCUAAUUUUAUUUUUUCAACCAUUUUUAAACCAAUUUAUCAAGAUUUACUUGUGAACUAAAAAAAAAAAAAAAGUUGGGGUGCCAGGUGCCUAUAAUCCUAGCUACUUGGGAGGCUGUGGCAGAAAGAAUUUCAAGGGCCCAGAAUUUCAAGGUUGCAGUGAGCUAUGAUUAUGCCACUGUACUCCAUUCUAGGUGAAAGAGCAAGACUGUUUCUAUAAUUUUAUUGAAUGGGAUAAUUAGUAUACUAUUGAUUUUAUAUGUGCACCCAAUAUAUCUAAAUAAAAUAUUUUGAGGGAUGUCAAGCUAAUUAUACCAGAUUUUAUUAUGUACAUGUAACAUAUAACACAGUACAUGUACAUAUGUGUAAACACAUCUAAAUGUAUAUAUACACAUAUAAAAAUACUUUCAUAUAUAUGCUCAUAUAAAAAUACUUUCAACUUUCAUUUUAGAAUUUUGGUCAUGAGAUAGUAAAACAUAGAGACUCACUGAUUUUUUUUAAAAAAUACAUUUAUCAGGCGCAUAUGCUAUUUUGUUACAUACAUAGGUUGCAUGGUGGUCAAGUCAGGGCUUUUAGGGUAUUUGUCACCUAAAUAAUGUAUGCUGUAGCCAUUAAAUAAUUUCUCAUCAUUCUCCCUACUCCCACUCCCUCACCUUUCAAGUCUACAUUAUCUAUCUAUGUCCAUUAUCUGUCUAUGUCCAUGUGAACACAUUUUGUAGCACCCACUUAGGAGUGAUAACAGGUAAUAUUUGUCUUUCUGUGCCUGGCUCGUUUCACUUAAGAUAAUGAUUUCCAGGAUGAGUGUGGUGGCUUGUGCCUGUAAUCCCAGGAAUUUAGAAGGCCAACGCAGCCAGAUUGCUUGAUGCCAAAAUUUCAAGACCAGGCUGCGCAUAAUUUCAAGACCUUCUCUUUACAAAUAAAAAUAAAAAUAAAUAGCUGGAGCUGUGGCAUGAACCUGUAGUCCUGGCUAGUUGGAAGGCUGAGGAGGAGGGAUUACUUCAGCCCAGGAUUUCAAGGCUGCAGUGUGCUAUAAUUGUGCCAAGACACUCCAGCCUGGGUGACAUAGCAAGACCUUUUGUCUAGAAGAUAGCAAAGAUAAUGACCUUCAGUUUCAUCUGUAUGGCUGCAAAAUACUUGAUUGUAUUCUUUUUUAUGGUUGAAUAGGAUUCCAUUAUGUAUAUACACCACAUUUUCUUACUCAUUUAUCUAUUGAUAGACACUUAGGUUGAUUCCCCUUUGCUAUGAAUAGUGGUGUGAUAAACAUGCAAGAGCAAGUAUGUUUUUGAUAUAUUGAUUUUUUUCCUUUCAGUAGAUACCUAGCAGUGGUAUUGCUGGAUUGAAUGAUAGUUCUUUUAGUUCUUUGAAAAACCAUACUGUUUUCCGUAAAGGCUGUACUAAUAUCCAUUCCGAGCAACAGUAUAUGAGUUCUCUUUUCUCCAUAUCCUCACCAACAUCUGCUCUUUUUUGUCUUUUUAAUAAUGGCCAUUCUAGCUGGGGUAAAAUGAAAUAUCAUUGUGGUUUUGAUUUGCAUUUCCCUGAUGAUUAAUGAUGAGCAUUUUUUCAUAUACCUGUUGGCCAUUUGUAUGUCUCUUUUGAAAAAUGUCUGUUCAUGUCUUUUGUCCCACAUGGGAUUAUUUGAUUUUAUUGUUUGAGUUCCUUGUAUAUUCUGGAUAUUAGUCCUCUGUUGGAUUGAUAGUUUGAAAAUAUUUUCUCCCAUAUAACAGGUUGUCUCUUCUCUAUGUUGAUUGUUUCCUUUGCUGCGAAGAAGCUUUUUAGUUUAAUUAAGUCCCAUUUGUCUAUUUUUUCUUCUGUUGCCUGUGCUUUUGAGUUCUUAAUCAUUAAUUUGGUGCCUAGAUCAAUGUCCAGAAGAGUUUACUCUAGGUUUCCUUCUAACAUUUUUAAAGUAUUGGGUCUUACAUGUAAGUUUUAAUCCAUCUUGAGAUGGUUUUUGUAUGUGGUGAGAGAUAAGGAUUCAGUUUCAUUUUUCUGCAAUAGAUAUUCAAUUUUUAAGCCAUUUAUUAAAGCGGGUCUUCUUUCCCCCACUGUAUGUGUUGUUGGUUUUGUCAAAAAUCAGUUGGCUGUAAAUAUGUGGCUUUAUUUCUGGAUUCACUAUUCUUUUAUAUUAAUCUGUAUACUAUUUUUAUAUCACUAUCAUGUUAUUUUGCUUACUAGAGCGUUGUAAUAUUAUUUGAAGGCAAAUAAAGUGAUGCUUCCAGCUGUGAUCUUUUUGCUUAAGAUUGCUUUGGUUACUUGGGCUUUGUUUUGGUUCCAUAUGAAUCUUAUGGUUGUUUUUUCUAAUUCUGUGAAAAGCGACACUGGUAUUUUGAUGGGAAUUGCAUUGAAUCUGUAGAUUAGGCAGUUAUGGUCAUUCUAUUAGUCUGUUCUCACACUGCUAUAAAGAACUACCUGAGACUGUAAUUUACAAAGAAAAGAGGUUUAAAAACUCACAGUUCCACUUUGCAGGAAGCAUGAAUGGGAGGCCUCAGUAACAAUCAUGCCAGAAGGUGAAGGGGAAGCAAGCACGUCUUUACCGUGGUGGAACAAGAGCAAGCAAGGGGGAAAUGCCACACACUUUUAAACCAUCAGAUCUCCUGAGAACUCACAGUCACAAGAACAGCAUGGGGGAAAUCCACCCCCCUGAUCCAAUUACCUCCCACAAGGUCCCUCCCCCAACAUUGGGAAUUACAAUUCAACAUGAGAUUUGGUUGGGGACAUGGAACCAAACCAUAUGAGUCACUUUAUUUAUAUUAAUUAUUUCAAUUUAUGAACAUGUGAUAUUCUUCCAUUUGUUUGUGUCAUCUACAAUUUAUUCCAGCAGUGUUUUGUAAUUUUCCUUGUAGAAAUCUUUCACCUCCUUGUAGAAAUCUUUCACCUCCUUGGUUAAAUUUAUUGCUAGGGUUUUUUUUGUAGCUAUUGUAAAUGGGAUUGCCUUCUUGAUUUCUUUCUUUGCAAGGUCAUUAUUGGUAUAUAGAAACACUACUGAUAUUUGUACAAUAAUAUUUUUGUAUUCUUCAACUUUAUUGAAUUCGUUCAUCAAAUCAGAGUUCUUUGGCGGAGUCUAGGUUUUUCUAGAUAUAUGAUUCUAUCAUCAGCAAACAGGGAUAAUUAAACUUCCUCUUUUUAAAUUUGGAUUCCUUUUAUUUAUUUUUCUUUCCUGAUUGCUCUGGCUAGGACAUACCCUAAUACAUUAAAUGAGAGUGGAAAAAUUUGGCAUCCUUGUGUUGUUUCUGUUUUAGAGAAAAUCCUUUCCAAGAUUCCCCCAAUUACUAUGAUGUUAAGGGAGGAGACCACCCCUCAUAUUGUCUUAUGCCCAAUUUCUGCCUCCAAAGAAAGAAGUAGUAAAAAGUAAAAGGCAGAAAUGAAAUCCACAAGCGGACAGCCUGGCGCCACACCCUAGGCCUGGUAGUUAAAGCUUGACCCCUGACCUAAUCGGUUAUUUGCAUAAGAAAAGCACUGUAAAGAUCCCUGUCCUGUUCUGUUCCAUUCUAAUUACCAGUGCAUCCAGCCCCCAGCCACAUACCCCCUGCUUGCUCAAUUGAUCACGACCCUCUCACAGGGACCCCCUUAGAGUUGUGAGCCCUUAAAAAGGACAGGAAUUGCUCACUAGAGGAGCUCAGUUGUUGGAGAUGUGAGUCUUCCCGAAGCUCCUGGCCGAAUAAAGCCCUUCCUUCUUUAACUCAGUGUCUGAGGGGUUUUGUCUGUGGCUUGUCCUGCUACAUUUCUUGGUUCCCUGACCAGGAAGUGAGGUGAUUAACAGACGGUCGAGGCAGCCCCUUAGGCAGUUUAGGCCUACCCCAUGGAGCAUCUCUGUGGGGGACUCCGGCCAGCUUGAGCAACGCAGAUCCUGAGAGUGCUCCUGGGUAGGCAAUUGUCCCAGUGGAACGCCUCACCAGAGCAGUGCGUGGCAGGCCCCUGUGGAGGAUCAACGCAGUGGCUGAACGCCGGGAAGGAACUGGCACUUGGAGUCCAGACAUCUGAAACUUGGUAAGACUAGUCUUUGGAAAUUGCCUACUCCAUUUGAGUGGAAGCGUGGCCUGAUCACCCAUGGCAUGCCUGUACUGGCAGUUUGGUUUUUUGUUUUUGACUUGACUUGGAUUGCUUGAUACUUUGGUUUUGGUUUUGACCUGGCUUGGAUUUCUUGAUACUCUGAUUUUGGUUUUGAUUCUGGUUUGGUGUAAACUGUAAAAGUGUGUGUGUGCCCUUUUUACCCGUUCUUUUUGUGGUGUGCGUGCGGUGUGAGCGUGGUGUUUUGUCUUGAGGAAGCAUGGGUCAGGCACAAAGUAAGCCCACCCCACUAGGAACUAUGUUGAAAAAUUUCAAGAAAGGAUUUAAGGGAGAUUACGGUGUUACUAUGACACCAGGAAAACUUAGGACUUUGUGUGAAAUAGACUGGCCAGCAUUAGAGGUGGGUUGGCCAUCAGAAGGAAGCAUGGACUGGUCCCUUGUUUCAAAGGUAUGGCACAAGGUAACCUGUAAGCCAGGGUGCCCAGACCAGUUCCCGUACAUAGACACUUGGUUACAGCUGGUUUUAGACCCCCUCCCUACCCCCACGGUGGUUGAGAGAACAGCAGCAUAAGCAGCUGGCAGAGGCAAGGAAAGACCAGCAAAGAGACAGAGAAGAAAGAGACAGGAAAAGAGGCAAAGAGAGAGAAGAAGAGAGAGAGGAAGAGACAGAGAGACAAAGAGGGAGUCAAGGAGAAAGAGAGAGAGAGGAAGAGACAGAGGCAAAAGGAAAGUCAAAAAGAGAGACAAUGUCAAAGACAGAGAAAUAUACAAGUAGUUAAAAAAAAGUGUGCCCUAUUCCUUUAAAAGCCAGGGUAAAUUUAAAACCUAUAAUUGAUAAUUGAAGGUAUUCUCUGUAACCCUAUAACACUCCAAUACCACUUUGUUGUCAGUGUAAACAAGGGCAUAUCCCGAAAGCACAGAGGCCACUGAUAACCCGUAGCCUUCCUAUCAAAAAUCUUUAACCCAGUAACCCACGAAUGGCCCAGAUGCAUUCAGUCUGUAGCGGCAAUGGCUUUGCUAACAGAAGAAAGUAAAAAAAUAACUUUUAGAGGAAACCUCAGUGUGAGCAUACCUCACCAGUUCAGAAGUAUCCUAAGGAAAAAAAAAAAAAAAAAAAAGGAUGUUUUAACAUUAACCACGAAAAAAAUCCCUUAACCCAGAAGUUUUCCUAACAGGGCAUCUAAGUCUUAAUUACCAUACAAAGGUCCGACCAGACCAGAAUUCCCUACAGGACAGGACCAUCAAUGGUUCCUCCCGGGUAAUUGAAGGAAAAAAAAAAAAAAAGCCAUCUAUACCAAUUCUAAGUUAAUUUGGACAAAACAAGGUCUUAUUAAUAGCAAAGGAUAAUUAAAAUCCCAAACUUGCAAGGUUUUCAACAAAAGUAAAGUUUGCUAAAAGCUAACAUUGUAACAUGUAUUAUAGUAAAUUAUAAUCUUGUGGCCUUAGACAGUCUAGUCCACAGUCAUAAAGCAAGUUCGCUUUGGAAAAGAAUGGUUAUCUCUGAAAAAAAAAAAAAGAAGAAAAGGAGGGGCAGAAUUUAUGUAAAAAAAGUGUUAUAUGGUAAAUUCUUGUCCUGAAAUAAAUUAACUGGUUGUUUAAAGAAAGAAAUGUUUGUAAUAAGUCAGAAAGUUCAGGCAUUGCUAAGAAUUGUCUGCAAAAGUUGUGAAAGAGAAAUAUGUUAUAAAAAAAAAGAAUUUAUGCAAGAAAAGUUGUAUAAUUUAAAAGUAACUAGGCCUCCUGAAUGUAAAACUAUUGAAAUAAACAGUUUAUGUGCAAGGUGUAUAAGGAAAGUAAAAUAUAACUUUGGUAAAAGGAUUAUAAGGAGGCAAAAGAAUGUAAGUUGUUACAUACAUUAAAAGGUUAAAAAAACUAUUUUGAAGGUUUAAGCAAGUUUUAAAAUGUUAAUUGUAAAGGAAAUUCUGUGUGUAAACAUAUUAGCCAAAGGUAAAGGGGUAACAUCCAGUUUUUCUGUGAAUUGGACAUUAAAGUAAAAACACAAUGGGUUUUUCUUAAAGCACUAACCUGCUCUUUAACAAAGAUUAUAAAAAGUGAGUCUAUAAAAAUCUUACCUGAUGGUCCAACAUGAAAAAUUCAAUAAAUAUGUAUACAAAGUUUUAUUAAAACUAAGUUUAACAUUAAUAACACACUAAUAUAAAGGUGAAAUUUAGCUUAUCUGGUAUAAAAAUCAUACAGGAAGCAUUGUCAAAUAUAAAAUGGUAUUUGGCUUCUUUGGUCUAAAAACUAAUAAAAAUAGGUGCUAAAGGAAAUUUCUCAGUGGAAAGGCACCAAGAACUAUAAAGUCCACUGCUGAUGUCCCCACAUUUAAAACAAAAGGUCAACUUCUUAGAAAUUAUAUACUUGGUUUAUCUUCCACUUUCCUUUCCCUCAAAACUAAAAGUCUUUUAGCACAUGUACCACCCCUAGAAUUUCCGGUAAACCAGCACCAGCCUAUCCGCUCGGGGAUGAACAAGGGCUGACUGAUUGAUAAGCUCUUGAAAAUUCUUAAGCUCACUGCAUCCCUUCAGGUCUCCAAGGAACGCUAAGUUUCUUCCCUGUUGUGAGAGACACGAAGUGAACUUAGUGUUGGGAGACGGAAGCUGGAUGGCCCUCGGGGGCUGACCCGCAGGGUACCGGACUUUGGGAUAUAGCAGAGAGAGCUUGGCAUGACUUACUACUCCAGGCUGUAGAAUCCUGGAUAAGAGCUACCAUGCAGCCCACGUGUGGUCGACUGGAGGAUCAGCUGCUUAGUGGAAAGAGGACAAUCUGGGCCUCUGGCCUGCCAUGUGCACAAGCAUAACAAUUGCUUUUGUUUAACGUGCAGAUGGAAUAUUUGAUCCAUUCCAACCAGGCAUUUGCAUCUUGGUAUCCUGUCUUAAUUGCCAAAGUUUGUUUUAAGUCUUUAACUUCUAUCAUCCUCUAGUAAAAUGAAUGUAUGAUUUUAGGAAAUUACAAAAACCGGUUGGGGCAGCCCAUCCUUGCUCUUUAGUGGUCCACAGAAUGUUGGACCAACUACGGCAUAAAAGCUCUACAUAGGGGAGCAAGACUCCUGGUUGACACUGGAGUCUUAAUCAAAAUUUCCCCAGAUUAAAUGGUCCUAAUUUACUAAUGCCCAGUCUGAGGAGAGUCAGGAGGGACAGAGGUACUUUUCUGAAGUAGAGAGCUGUCUUUGACUGGGCAAGUCCCCACAGGGUAUAACAAGGCAAGCAUUAAAUGCAAUAGUUUGAGGCAAAAUUGACUUGGUUAUGUUAAUAACCAGAUGGUCAGCAAAAGAGCGAGGUAAGAAGAAAGAGUAAUAGAAUAGAUUAAGACUUAAAUUUUUGUUAGCUUUAGUUUGGUAAGGUUUUCCCCUGGGACUAUGGCCCAUGACUCUGGAGGGGGUGGCACUUUCUUGACUUGGUUGUGAUUAGUCCAUCCUUUUUUCACUGUAUGAACAGCAGUCUCGGUGUUUAGCAGCACAAGGUAGGGUCCUUCCUAGGCUGGAUCGAGUUUCCUUUCUUUUCACCCUUUGAUGAGAACGUGAUCUUCAGGAUGUGUGGUGGUAUUGUGAUUGUGUGUGGACCUUUACUGGGCACUCUGCCGAAUAACUGGAGUGGCACUUGUACUUUAGUUCAAUUGGCUAUCCCUUUCACCCUGGCAUUUCAUCAACCAGAGGGAAGAAAAAUAAGACAUUGUAAAGCGAGAGAAGGCCCUUAUGGGUUUUUUGACUCUCACGUCUAUUUAGACACAAUUGGAGUCCCACGGGGAAUACCAGAUCAAUUUAAAGCUUGAAAUCAAAUAGCUGCAGGAUUUGAGUCAAUAUUUUGGUGGGUGGCAGUUAAUAAAAAUGUAAAUUGGAUAAACUACAUCUAUUACAACCAACAGCAAUGAGCUUUUCAUGAGUUAAAAGAAAAACUCCUGUUGGCCCCAGCCCUGAGGCUACCCGACCUGACAAAAGCCUUUACACUCUAUGUGUCAGAAAAAGAAAACACGGCAGUUGGAGUUUUAACCCAGACUGUGGGGCCCUGGCCAAGGCCAGUGGCCUAUCUCUCAAAACAACUAGACGGGGUUUCCAAAGGCUGGCCCCCAUGGCUAAGGGCCCUGGCAGCAAUGGCCCUGUUAGCACAAGAAGCAGAUAAACUAACCCUUGGGCAAAACCUGAAUAUAAAGACCCCCCCAUGCUGUGGUAACUUUGAUGAAUACCAAAGGACAUCAUUGGCUAACAAAUGCUAGAUUAACCAAGUACCAAAGCUUGCUAUGUGAAAAUCCCCACAUAACCAUUGAAGUUUGCGACACCCUAAACCCUGCCACCUUGCUCCCGGUAUCAGAGAGCCCAGUUGAAUAUCACUGUGUUGUAUUGCACUCAGUUUAUUCUAGUGGGCCCAACCUCUGAGACCAUCCUUGAACAUCAGUAGACUGUGAGUUGUACAUGGGCGAGAGCAGCUUCGCCAACCCCUGCAAAGUGACUCUGAAGAAGAUGACAAUACCUGCUUCAGUCACACCCGGAAGCUGACUGGUCCACGCAUGGCCAAAGCAUGAGAAAACUCAUUGCGGGACUCAUUUUCCUUAAAAUUUGGACUUAUACCAUAGGGACUUCAACUGACCUUCCUCAGACUGAAGACUAUUCCCAGUAUAUACGUCAAGUCACUGAGGUAGGAAAAAAGUUGCUACAGUCCUAUUAUUUUAUGGUUAUUAUAAGUAUACCAGGACUCUAAAAAGAACUUGUUUGUAUAAUGCUAUUCUAUACAAGGUAUGUAGCCCAGGAAAUGACCAACCUGAUGUGUGUUAUGACCCAUCUGAGCCUCCCAUGACCACAGUUUUUAAGAUUAAGGACUGAAACCUGGUGGGGGCUCAUAAACGAUAUGAGUAAAGUGUUAGCCAAAACAAAAGAAAAAGGGGUGCCCAAACAAGUCACCUUGAAGUUUGAUGCCUGUGUUGUCAUUAAUAGUAAUAAGUUAGGAAUAGGAUGUGGUUCUCUUAAUUAGGAAAAAGGCUAUAUGGCAAAAAAAAAAAAAAAGUACAUUUGUCAUAAAUUAGGACUGUAUGGAAAUGAACGUGCAUACUGGUCUUGUGUCAUUUCGGCUACUUGGAUAAAAAAUGAAAAGGAUCCCGUCCACCUUCAGAAAGGGAAAAGUGGCCCUUCCUGUACAAGUGGUCAGUGUAACCCCUUAGAACUAGUAAUAACCAACCCCCUUGAUCCUCACUGGAAAAAAGGGGAGCGUGUAACCCUAGGAAUUGAGGGGGCUGGACUGGAUCCUCGAGUAAAUAUCAUGGCUUGAGGAGAAGUUUAUAAACGCUCUCCUGAGCCAGUAUCUCAACCCUUCUACGAUUAACUGAAUGUGUCAGUACCAGAAAUUCCAGGAAAAACAAGAAAUUUGUUUUUACAAUUAGCUGAGCAUGUAGCCUAGUCUCUCAGUUUCACUUCAUGUUAUGUAUGUGGAGGAACUAUAAUGGGAGAUCAAUGGCCAUGGGAAGCCUGAGAAUUAGUACCUACAGACCCAGUUCCUGAUGAAUCCCCAGUUCAAAAGAAUCACCCUGAUAACUUCUGGGUCCUAAAAGCCUCAAUUAUUAGACAAUACUGUAUAGCAAGAGUGGGGAAGGACUUCAACCUUCCUGUGGGAAGACUCAACUGCCUUGAGCAAAAACUGUAUAAUAUUACUACAAAAACAGCCACCUAGUGGAGUUCAAACCACACUAAGAAAAAUCCAUUUAGUAAAUUCCCAAAGUUGCAAACCAUGUGAACCCACCCAGAGUCCCACUGGGACUGGGCAGCCCCCACUGGAUUAUACUGGAUAUGUGGGCAUAGAGCUUACACCAAAUUACCCUACCAGUGGGCAGAUAGUUGUGUUAUUGGCACUAUUAAACCAUCUUUCUUCCUACUGCCCAUAAAGACAGGCAAACUCCUGGGCUUCCCUGUCUAUGCUUCCCACAAAAAGAGAAGCAUAGCUAUAGGAAAUUGGAAAGAUAAUGAAUGGCCCCCUGAGAGAAUCAUAUAAUAUUAUGGGCCCGCUACUUGGGCACAAGAUGGCUCGCGGUGAUAUGGGACCCCCAUUUACAUGCUGAACUGAAUCAUACGGUUACAAGCUGUCUUAGAAAUAAUCACUAAUAAGAUCGGCAGAGCCUUGACUAUUCUGACCCAGCAAGAAACUCAGAUGAGAAAUGCUGUCUAUCAAAAUAGAUUGGCUCUCGACUACUUGCUAGCAGCUGAAGGAGGGGUCUGUGGGAAAUUUAACCUUACUAAUUGCUGUCUACACAUAGAUGAUCAGGGGCAAGUAGUUGAAGGCAUAGGGAUAUGACAAAACUGGCACAUGUGCCCGUGCAAGUGUAUCAUGGAUUUGAUCCUGGAGCCAUGUUUGGAAAAUGGUUCCCAGUGCUAGGAGAGUUUAAAACUCUUAUAAUAAGAGUCAUAAUAGUAAUAGGAACCUGCUUACUGCUCCCUUGUUUGCUACCUGUACUUCUUCAAAUGAUAAAAUGCUUCAUCACUACCUUAGUUCACCAAAAUGCUUUAGCACAAGUGUACUAUAUGAAUUACUAUCAAUCAGUCUUGCAAGAAGACAUGGGUAGUGAGAAUGAAAGUGAGAACUCCCACUAUUGAGUGAGAUUCUCAAAGGGGCAGAAUAAGGGAGGAGACCACCCCUCAUAUUGUCUUAUGCCCAAUUUCUGCCUCCAAAGAAGUAAAAACUAAAAGGCAGAAAUGAAAUCCACAAGCAGACAGCCCGGUGCCACACCCUGGGCCUGGUAGUUAAAGAUCGACCCCUGACCUAAUUGGUUAUUUGCAUAAGAAAAGCACUGUAAAGAUCCCUGUCCUGUUCUGUUCCCUUCUAAUUACUGGUGCAUGCAGCCCCCAGUCAUGUAACCCCUGCUUGCUCAAUCAUGACCCUCUCACGCGGACCCCCUUAGAGUUGUGAGCCCUUAAAAGGGACAGGAAUUGGUCACUCAGGGAGCUCUUGGAGUGAGCAAUUCCUGUCCCUUUUAAGGACAGGAAUUGUGUUGGAGAUGUGAGUCUUGCCAAAGCUCCCGGCCGAAUAAAGCCCUUCCUUAACUCGAUGUCUGAGGGGUUUUGUCUGUGGCUUGUCCUGCUACAAUGUUAGCUGUGAGUUUGUAGUAUAUGGCCUUUAUUAUUUUGAGGCAUGUUCCUUCUGUGCUUAGUUCUUUGAGAGUUUUUAUUAUGAAGGGAUGCUGAAUUUUAUGAAAUGUUUUUUCUGGGUCUAUUGAGAUCGUCAUGUGGGUUUUGUUCUUGAUUCUCUUAAUGCAAAGUAUCGUAUUUGUUGAUUUGCAUAUGUUGAGUUGUCCUUGCAUCUCUGGUAUAAAACCUACUUGAUUAUGGUGUAUUAUCUUUUUCUGUGCCCUGUUUUGAUUUAAUAGUAUUUAUAUGUAUUUUUUUAUUAUACUUUAAGUUCUAGGGUACAUGUGCACAACGUGCAGGUUUGUUACAUAUGUAUACAUGUGCUAUGUUGGUGUGCUGCACCCAUUAACUCAUCAUUUACAUUAGGUGUAUCUCCUAAUGCUAUCCCUCCCCCGUCCCCCCACCCCGUGACAGGCCCUGGUGUGUGAUGUUCCCUGCCCUGUGUCCAAGUGUUCUCAUUGUUCAAUUCCCACCUAUGAGUGAGAACAUGCAGUGUUUGAUUUUCUGUCCUUGCAAUAGUUUGCUCAGACUGAUGGUUUCCAGCUUCAUCCAUGUCCCUACAAAGGACAUGAACUCAUC
This 32899-nucleotide long non-coding RNA is filed under the name Homo sapiens (human). Its description in RNAcentral is "non-protein coding DANT2:4". Lineage: Eukaryota; Metazoa; Chordata; Mammalia; Primates; Hominidae. The record is from RNAcentral.